RNAcentral lists this ribosomal RNA (606 nucleotides) under uncultured bacterium. Its description in RNAcentral is "bacterial SSU rRNA". It matches the Rfam family "Bacterial small subunit ribosomal RNA", at positions 331 to 929 of the family's 1533-position model. The record is from RNAcentral.
CCAGAGUCCUACGGGAGGCAGCAGUAGGGAAUCUUCGGCAAUGGACGAAAGUCUGACCGAGCAACGCCGCGUGAGUGAAGAAGGUUUUCGGAUCGUAAAACUCUGUUGGUAGAGAAGAACGUUGGUGAGAGUGGAAAGCUCAUCAAGUGACGGUAACUACCCAGAAAGGGACGGCUAACUACGUGCCAGCAGCCGCGGUAAUACGUAGGUCCCGAGCGUUGUCCGGAUUUAUUGGGCGUAAAGCGAGCGCAGGUGGUUUAUUAAGUCUGGUGUAAAAGGCAGUGGCUCAACCAUUGUAUGCAUUGGAAACUGGUAGACUUGGGUGCAGGAGAGGAGAGUGGAAUUCCAUGUGUAGCGGUGAAAUGCGUAGAUAUAUGGAGGAACACCGGUGGCGAAAGCGGCUCUCUGGCCUGUAACUGACACUGAGGCUCGAAAGCGUGGGGAGCAAACAGGAUUAGAUACCCUGGUAGUCCACGCCGUAAACGAUGAGUGCUAGAUGUAGGGAGCUAUAAGUUCUCUGUAUCGCAGCUAACGCAAUAAGCACUCCGCCUGGGGAGUACGACCGCAAGGUUGAAACUCAAAGGAAUUGACGGGGGCCCGCACAAG